This 3886-nucleotide unclassified non-coding RNA is filed under the name Leishmania donovani. RNAcentral describes it as "gene:LdHU3.26.0050(CDS-product:pyridoxal_phosphat e_containing_glycine_decarboxylase_putative)". Lineage: Eukaryota; Euglenozoa; Kinetoplastea; Trypanosomatida; Trypanosomatidae. The record is from RNAcentral.
CAGAGGUGACACUCACGGUGCCACACGACAAACGUGAAUAGUUUCCGUCUUUUUCUUUUGGGUCAGCGUCGAAUUCGGGGUUCAAAACCCCUCCUUUUCUCUCCCCCGCAUCCGCCCUCAUGCUCCGCCGUCUCCUUCGCGUUAACGGCGCUCCGGCGCCCUCACGCCUGGCGCGCUACACCUCUACGGACGCGUACUUGAACCGCCACAUCGGCCCCACACGUAAGGAGACCGUCGAGAUGCUGAAGACGGUCGGCAAGGAGAGCCUCGCGGAGCUCAUGACCACAGUGCUGCCGAGCGAUAUCCUUCGCACUCCGCUGAACAACUUCAAGUGUUUGAGUGAGACAGAGGCUCUGUCCUACCUGAAGAGCCUCGGCGCACAAAACAAAGUUCUGAAGAGCAUGAUAGGCCAGGGCUACUACGAGUGCAUCAUCCCGAGCACGAUCAUGCGGAACGUGCUGGAGAACCCCAUGUGGUACACCCCGUACACCCCGUUCCAGUCAGAAAUCGCUCAGGGCCGCCUUGAGUCGCUCCUCAACUUUCAGACAAUGGUGACGGACCUGACAAAGAUGGACAUUUCCAACGCGUCGUUGCUCGACCAGGCGACGGCUGCGGGGGAGUGUAUGUACCUCGCCCUGAAUCAUCACCGUCACAAGCGCAUGAAGUUCUUUGUGUCGAAAGGCGUCUUUCUGUCAUCGAUCGAGAUGAUCCGCACGCGUGCGCACCCGCUGGGAGCACAGGUGAUCGUCGGUGAUGUUCAGUCCCUCGACCUCGAUGAUGCCGAGCUGAGUGGUAUUUUUGUGCAGACCCCAGACGCAAAGGGCGAGUUGCACGACUUCACCACCCUCUUUGCCCGUGCCAAGGCGAAUGGCGUCGUCUGCUGCGCAGGCGUCGACCUGAUGGCGAGCUGCCUCGUCAAGACGGCUGGCGAGAUGGGCGCGGACGUUGUGGUGGGCUGCGCGCAGCGCUUUGGCACCCCGCUGGGCUACGGUGGACCACACGCCGCUUUUAUGGCCAUCACGGACAACUUGAAACGGCUGUCCCCGGGUCGUAUAGUUGGCAUCAGCAAGGACAACGCCGGCGAUCCGGCCAUUCGCAUGGCAUUGCAGACGCGCGAGCAACACAUCAAGCGCGAGCGGGCCACCUCGAACAUCUGCACGGCGCAGGCACUGCUCGCGAACAUGAAUGCCUUCUACGCGAUCUACCACGGCCCGGAGGGGCUAAAGCAGCUCGCGAGGGAGAUUCACCAGAAGGCGAAGCUGUUCGCCGUCGGCAUGGAGUCGCUCGGCUUUUCCCCGGUGAACACCACCUACUUUGACACGCUCUCCUUCUCAAUGGAGGCGAGCUCCAUGACGGCGGCUGACUACGCCCAGCGGUGCGUCGAGAGGGGCAUCAACAUUUUUGUGGAUGGCUCAACGAACGAGGUGUCCAUCUCCGUGGACGAAGCCACGACGGAGAACCACAUCGCCGCGCUGCUGCAGGCUGCGGGCAUGCCAACGCCGAAGAUCGACGCGCUGACGCGCGUCGCCGAUACCAUCUGCGUCAUCCCUGCAGCGCUUCUGCGGAAGUCCAAGUUCAUGCAAAGCAGCGUCUUCAACAGCCACAAGAGCGAAACGGAGCUGAUGCGUUACAUUCAGCGCCUGCAGCGCAAGGACUAUGGACUGACGCACGGUAUGAUCCCGCUUGGGUCGUGCACCAUGAAGCUGAACUCCGCCGCUGCGAUGCGGGCACUGAGCUGGCCGGAGUACAACGCACUGCACCCCUAUGCUCCCGAGGAUCAGGCGCGCGGGUACCACGCGUUGCUGGUGGACCUGAAGCAGAAGCUGUGCGACAUCACAGGUAUGGCUGCCUGCUCGAUACAACCGAACAGCGGUGCCCAGGGCGAGUACGCCGGCCUGCGGAUCAUUCGUGCCUACCACGAAUCGCGCGGCGAGGGCCACCGCGAUGUCUGCUUCAUUCCAACAAGCGCGCACGGCACCAACCCGGCGUCGGCGGUGCUGGCGGGGCUGAAAGUGGUUACAGUGAAAUGCCUCGACGACGGGAGUGUGGACAUGGUGGAUCUGGAGGCCAAGUGCGUGAAGCACGCCAAGGACCUGGCCUGCCUCAUGAUUACCUACCCUAGCACCUACGGCCUCUACGACAAGGACAUUCGCAAGAUCACGUCUGUGGUGCACGAGCACGGCGGUCAGUGCUACAUCGACGGCGCCAACCUGAACGCCCUAGUUGGGUACACCGGGCCUGGCUUCAUCGGCGGUGAUGUGUGCCACAUCAACAUGCACAAGACUUUCUCCAUCCCACAUGGUGGCGGCGGUCCGGGCUUAGGACCGAUCACUGUGCGGCAGCACCUUGCCCCGUUCCUUCCGAACAGCACCUAUGGCCCGGCCGUAGGUGGGUCGCAGGCAUUUGGGCAGGUAUCGCAGGCGGGCAACGGCUCUGCUUCGAUUGCCACCAUCUCGUACGCCCUCAUCAUGAUGUUGGGCUCCCACGGGCUCAAGACGUGCACGGAGUACGCGGUACUGAAUGCCAACUACCUCAAGAAGCGGCUUGAGGAGCACUACACCAUCUGCUUCCUCGGCCACAGCGAGUUCUGCGCCCAUGAGUUUAUUCUCGACAUUCGCCCGUUUAAGAAAACCGCCAACAUCGAUGCGGAGGAUGUGGCGAAGCGACUCAUGGACUACGGCUUCCACGCGCCGACGCUGGCGUUUCCCGUGGCUGGCACGCUGAUGAUCGAGCCUACGGAGUGCGAGUCGAAGCGGGAGCUGGAUCGCCUCGCGGAUGCUCUCAUUUCCAUCCGUCGCGAGAUCGCCGCGGUGGAGCGUGGCGAUCAGCCAAAGAACAACAACGUCCUCACAAACGCGCCACACACGGCCAAGUGCGUGACCGCGGAUGAGUGGAACCGUCCGUACUCGCGGCAGCUCGCGGCCUACCCCACUCGGCACCAGUACCGCGAAAAGUUCUGGCCAAGUGUUGGUCGGGUCGACAACACCUACGGAGAUCUCAACUUGAUGUGCUCGUGCGCCCCGUUAGAGUUCUACCACUAGAGACACCACCGCGUCGUUUGCGGAAGUUUGGAGGACAAGAAUGCGCACCACCGGCACAGCGACCCAUUCAGGGCUUCCCUGACGCUCCUUUUUCGUCGUCGCUGUGAAGUUUCUGAAGGUUCGGCAACGGAUAUAUGCGUGUGCGCAUCGGUGUGAGUGGGUAACGGCGGAUCGAUAUAUGUCUGUCCGUGACAGCCAUAUGGUCCAUUUUCUCUUUUCCCUUUUGGAGAACAGCUUCUCUCCGCAAUAUCGCCUCAUGUUCUUUCCGUUGUUUCUUUUUUUUUCAAGCCCUCUUCAUCCCACCCGCCCUCCUGCCACUCACCACCCCCUCCACCCUUGUCAUUCAUGUGCACCUCCAGUUAGCAUUUCUUGGUACGUGUAUAUAAUCUUACCCUUUCUCUCUUUUUCGGCUCCUGGGUCUUGCCGCCUUAAUUGUGGUUGCUUUGCUUUGUCUCUCCAUCUUUAUCGCCAUCGCCUACACUUCUUCCUUCUGGCUGCGUGUGUGUGCGUGUUCGUGGGCUGCUUCUCCCCAUCUGCACCUCUGCACACAUGGCCGCACGAAUCGGACCAUCGACUGGAUUUGAACGCCUUACAUUCCCCCCCCCCCUCCCCCACAAGCACAAGAAAAAAAAACACGACUAUUUUCUAGGUCUCCCUGUUUUCUUGAUCUCUUUCUGUCUGCGCACAUAACGUCAACGGCGCUGGUGUGCUUAUAUUUGUGCACAGAUUAGAGAGCAAUCUUGACGCGUCGUGUUUCUGUGCGUCUGGGAAAAGGUUUUGUUUGCUUCAUUUUUUUUCAUUUUCUUCGUUUUGAAAACAAGUGAGCACGUAAGCCUUAUGACAGC